RNAcentral lists this long non-coding RNA (1364 nucleotides) under Homo sapiens (human). Its description in RNAcentral is "HSALNT0170225". Lineage: Eukaryota; Metazoa; Chordata; Mammalia; Primates; Hominidae. The record is from RNAcentral.
AAACACUAUUUGAAAAACCCCCAAAUCUGUGACCCCUCCCUACCAGCUCCACUAGAGAGUUCCAUGGCCGUCACACAGUGGCAGGGUUUUGCUGACAAGUGGACACCAGAAUUGUCCAACUCGAUUGGAGGCAUCGUGAUCUGCAGAUCUCAGGAAAUGUGCUAAGCCCCCAAGUCACAUCAUUCCAGUUGGUUCUGGACCCCAGCGAGCUUCAUCAGCGCUGAGUGUGGGAGACACUGUGAAACCUUGUUAAGAUCAAGCAGACGGCACACCUUACUUCCUUAUGCAGACACUGGGAAAGACACACAGAGAUGGGCAUGUGGGAAAGACCAAAACUUUCUGCCCUCAGUGGGAAGGGGCGUCUGAAGAGCCACCCUCCUGCACCUCACUCCUUUCUACAAACAGGCGUUCUUGUUGCGUGGCCUGACUAGGGGAGCAGUGGCAGCUCCAGGAUUUCUCCCCAGCACAUUCUAGGUGGUGAUCCAGUUGGGAGUGGGGCCUUGAAGCUGUGUUUGCACCACACAAUGAGGCUGAGACAAUGCCAACCAGCGCUUCACGAUCAAAGCAUGCAGGCGGUGGGGUGUUGAUAUAUAACCUGCCUGUGACCGCACAGUGAGUCGAUGGUGGGCUUGAUUUGAAGUGCAGCAGUCUGGCUCCAGAAAUCACACUUUGCCCCCUGCGCCAGCCUGUCUCCAACCCUCAGACAAACAAAGGUUGUAGGCAGGCACAUGCAGAGAGACCCUUAUGCAUCUGGAAUUAGUGAGAGUUUGAAUGGAAUGGUGCACGUGCUAGGUUUUGUGUUGUCUAUGGGAUGUCUAAAAUAGAACCUUGCUCUGUAACUGACUUUAAAUUACUACGUUAAAAAAAAAAGACAUAAUUAUUCAUUGUUUCUAUGAUGGCUUCUAGUUUACAAAGAAAUUUUACACAUUUUUUGCUUUCUUUGUGUCCAGCCUGGGCUUUGGGUUUUGGGGGCGAGAAUCCCAUUGCUCUGUGGACUCCCAGCCCCCGGGGCCCCUGGGCACACGCAGACUCCCCUCUACUUGCCCAUCCUCCUUCUUUUCCAUUCUCCUUCACCAGUGGUCCAAACACGCGUAUCUGGCAUCUGCUGAGCAGGUUCUUGCUGUCCUGCUUCUUUGGCGCUUUCCAAACGGCAGAAUUCCAGUGCUGUCCUCUGGCAGGUGCCUGAGAAUUACCUGGAGGGGCCACAGCAGGGGACUCUCCGUGCUUCCUUCCCUGUGCUGGAAGAGUCACUUCAGCUGACCUCGUUCAAUGCCCUCUCACUUGGCUCCUGGCAGCCCCUUGCUCCUGGGAUCUCCGUGCCCAGGGACCACUCACCCUCCACCUAGGCAGAGAGCACAAAGCUC